Long non-coding RNA from Formica exsecta, 500 nucleotides. RefSeq lists it as uncharacterized. The record is from RefSeq and is a predicted model, not a curated record. The transcript is spliced from 3 exons. NCBI's taxonomy places the organism in Eukaryota, Metazoa, Arthropoda, Insecta, Hymenoptera, Formicidae.
UCCGACACUUUUCAGCCUGCUAUUCCCCUUCCAUUUAUAUAUGUUCUAAGGGUGCACCCGAGUGGGGAAUCGGACCAUAAAUCCUAUGCUGUGUUCCGAUUCCCCACCCGGGUGCACCCAAUUAUAGUAUAUGUCACGUAUACUAUAAUAUCGGGUGCACCCGGGUGGGGAAUCGGAACACAGCCCUACGUGAUAGAAAAAUAAUAGUGACAUUUGUCGAGUGAAUUUGCAUGAUUUACAUCUUUUUGUUUCUUAUAUAAAAUUGUUUAAUGAUUCACGAUUUUCUUCCACUGUCUUGUCAUGAUUUCUUUUGUUUAAUGAUCUCGAAUUUAUGGAUUUAUGUGAAUGCCCAUUUUGAAAAACUUCCAUAUCAUUUAUGUCAUUUUCUGAUCCGUGGAAAAAAUGCUUUGAUUUUCAUACAUUGUUACAAGCGUCGUUUUAAUAGUUUGCCAAUUCCACGCUUGUGGCAAAUAAUGUGUGUGAACAGUAUGCAACAAUGU